AUUAAACGCUGGCGGCAUGCCUUACACAUGCAAGUCGAACGGCAGCACGGGGGCAACCCUGGUGGCGAGUGGCGGACGGGUGAGUAAAGCAUCGGAACGUAUCCUGGAGUGGGGGAUAACGUAGCGAAAGUUACGCUAAUACCGCAUAUUCUGUGAGCAGGAAAGCAGGGGAUCGCAAGACCUUGCGCUCUGGGAGCGGCCGAUGUCGGAUUAGCUAGUUGGUGGGGUAAAGGCCUACCAAGGCGACGAUCCGUAGCGGGUCUGAGAGGAUGAUCCGCCACACUGGGACUGAGACACGGCCCAGACUCCUACGGGAGGCAGCAGUGGGGAAUUUUGGACAAUGGGCGCAAGCCUGAUCCAGCCAUGCCGCGUGAGUGAAGAAGGCCUCGGGUUGUAAAGGCUCUUUUCGGUCGGGGGAAGGAAAGUUAGCACGGGUUAAUACCCUGUGUAGAUGACGGUA
This 460-nucleotide ribosomal RNA is filed under the name uncultured bacterium. RNAcentral's name for it is "bacterial SSU rRNA". It matches the Rfam family "Bacterial small subunit ribosomal RNA", at positions 29 to 477 of the family's 1533-position model. The record is from RNAcentral.